Molecule: ribosomal RNA, 468 nt
Filed under: uncultured bacterium
Lineage: Bacteria
Description: partial 16S ribosomal RNA
Rfam family: Bacterial small subunit ribosomal RNA
Source: RNAcentral
GACGAACGCUGGCGGCGUGCUUAACACAUGCAAGUCGAACGGAAAGGCCCUGCUUUUGUGGGGUGCUCGAGUGGCGAACGGGUGAGUAACACGUGAGUAACCUGCCCUUGACUUUGGGAUAACUUCAGGAAACUGGGGCUAAUACCGGAUAGGAGCUCCUGCUGCAUGGUGGGGGUUGGAAAGUUUCGGCGGUUGGGGAUGGACUCGCGGCUUAUCAGCUUGUUGGUGGGGUAGUGGCUUACCAAGGCUUUGACGGGUAGCCGGCCUGAGAGGGUGACCGGCCACAUUGGGACUGAGAUACGGCCCAGACUCCUACGGGAGGCAGCAGUGGAGAAUAUUGCACAAGGGACGGAAGCCAGAUGCAGCAACGCCGCGUGCGGGAUGACGGCCUUCGGGUUGUAAACCGCUUUCGCCUGUGACGAAGCGUGAGUGACGGUAAUGGGUAAAGAAGCACCGGCUAACUACGUG